This is a long non-coding RNA of Lolium perenne, 685 nucleotides long. RefSeq lists it as uncharacterized. The record is from RefSeq and is a predicted model, not a curated record. NCBI's taxonomy places the organism in Eukaryota, Viridiplantae, Streptophyta, Magnoliopsida, Poales, Poaceae.
UUCGUUCUUUCGCAUCGUAGGCUCCCCUCCAUUACUUGUGGAGAUGGUGUUGGACAAGUCUUUGAAAGGAGUUCGUUCAGUCGAGUGUUUCGACGGCUCCAUCCGCAAGGUGUCCUGAUAAAAAAGCACGGAAGUACUGGCGUGUGACCUUUAUGAGUUCGAUAGGAUCUGGAAUGACAUGAGGACAUAUCAGGAUAUAGACUAUGUCAUGUCCAAAGCCAAGAAGAAGUAAGAAACUGAUGCGAUGUCUGAGCGUCAAAGAAGAGGCGGCAGACCAAUGAGGCAGACCACGGGGCGUCGGCGAGGUGGCAGACCAAUGAGGCAGACCACGGGGCGUCGGCGAGGCGGUAGACCAAUGAGGCAGACCACGGGGCGUCGGCGUUGGCAACCAGCAAGGUCGAUGGAGAGAUUGCAGUCGUCGGCGAAGAUACGGCAGACCACGGGGCGGCGAGCUGGUUGCCAGAAGGCAGGCGUCAAAGAAGAGAUCUCAGACCACGAGGCAGCGAGGUGGUUGCCGGACGGCAGGCGUCGGAGUAAAGACGACAGCGUGAGGAUGAGAAGAGACGGCAGCGUGAGGGGGAGGUGAUUUCGUUGGUCUGAUUGAUUUCCAUAUACGUUUUGGCUGAUUUUUUCCUUGUACGUGAGGGGGAGAUGAUUUGGUUGGUCUGAUUGGUUUCCGUACAUG